RNAcentral lists this ribosomal RNA (472 nucleotides) under uncultured organism. Its description in RNAcentral is "partial 16S ribosomal RNA". It matches the Rfam family "Bacterial small subunit ribosomal RNA", at positions 332 to 796 of the family's 1533-position model. The record is from RNAcentral.
UACACUCCUACGGGAGGCAGCAGUGGGGAAUAUUGCACAAUGGGCGCAAGCCUGAUGCAGCCAUGCCGCGUGUAUGAAGAAGGCCUUCGGGUUGUAAAGUACUUUCAGCGGGGAGGAAGGCAAUACGGUUAAUAACCGUGUUGAUUGACGUUACCCGCAGAAGAAGCACCGGCUAACUCCGUGCCAGCAGCCGCGGUAAUACGGAGGGUGCAAGCGUUAAUCGGAAUUACUGGGCGUAAAGCGCACGCAGGCGGUCUGUCAAGUCGGAUGUGAAAUCCCCGGGCUCAACCUGGGAACUGCAUUCGAAACUGGCAGGCUUGAGUCUGGUAGAGGGGGGUAGAAUUCCAGGUGUAGCGGUGAAAUGCGUAGAGAUCUGGAGGAAUACCGGUGGCGAAGGCGGCCCCCUGGACAAAGACUGACGCUCAGGUGCGAAAGCGUGGGGAGCAAACAGGAUUAGAUACCCGGGUAGUCC